Molecule: non-coding RNA, 30 nt
Filed under: Mus musculus (house mouse)
Lineage: Eukaryota; Metazoa; Chordata; Mammalia; Rodentia; Muridae
Source: RNAcentral
GACAGCCAUAUCAGGAUUCUUUCAGCAAGC